This 74-nucleotide transfer RNA is filed under the name Pallavicinia lyellii. RNAcentral describes it as "tRNA-Tyr". It matches the Rfam family "tRNA". Rfam says of the family: Transfer RNA (tRNA) molecules are approximately 80 nucleotides in length. Lineage: Eukaryota; Viridiplantae; Streptophyta; Jungermanniopsida; Pallaviciniales; Pallaviciniaceae. The record is from RNAcentral.
GGUGGUUGAAAGCGACAGACAGACUGUAAAUCUGCUGAAGGUUUUCUACGUAGGUUCGAAUCCUGCCUCUUCCA